This 707-nucleotide ribosomal RNA is filed under the name Fusarium oxysporum. RNAcentral's name for it is "SSU rRNA". It matches the Rfam family "Bacterial small subunit ribosomal RNA", at positions 361 to 952 of the family's 1533-position model. Lineage: Eukaryota; Fungi; Ascomycota; Sordariomycetes; Hypocreales; Nectriaceae. The record is from RNAcentral.
AUAUUGGUCAAUGGCCUAACGGCUGAACUGGCAACUUGGAGAAGUGGCAAGUCUUCCAGUAUGGGGAGCAAAACAGCUAUGGGUCAAGUCCGAUAUCUUUAGGAGAAGUCUUAUUGUGAGGGCGAGUUAUAUAACACCAUAGGACUGGCCGUCCCAUAUGAAAAGAUUAUAUUAGAAUUGAAUGAAGCUUUGUUUAUAUAUUGAUAAUGACAGUAUAUAUAUCGUGUCUUGACUAAUUGCGUGCCAGCAGUCGCGGUAAUACGUAAGAGACUAGUGUUAUUCAUCUUAAUUAGGUUUAAAGGGUACCCAGACGGUCAAUAUAGCUUAUAAAAUGUUAGUACUUGACUAGAGUUUUAUGUAAGAGGGCAGUACUUGAGGAGGAGAGAUGAAAUUUCGUGAUACCAAAGGGACUCUGUAAAGGCGAAGGCAGCCCUCUAUGUAAAAACUGACGUUGAAGGACGAAGGCACAGAGAACAAACAGGAUUAGAUACCCAAGUAGUCUUUGCAGUAAAUGAUGAAUGCCAUAGGUUAGAUUGGUCAAUUAUAGUCUAGGGUUAGUCUAGCAAACUAAUACCCUAUGCUAUAAUCCUAAUAUCUGGUCUAUAAAUGAAAGUGUAAGCAUUUCACCUCAAGAGUAAUGUGGCAACGCAGGAACUGAAAUCACUAGACCGUUUCUGACACCAGUAGUGAAGUAUGUUAUUUAAUUC